Molecule: long non-coding RNA, 376 nt
Organism: Tigriopus californicus
Lineage: Eukaryota; Metazoa; Arthropoda; Copepoda; Harpacticoida; Harpacticidae
Exons: 2
Source: RefSeq, a predicted model, not a curated record
UGGUGAUGAAUGAUGAGUACUACUAGCUACAAAUUAAUGAACGGAUUUCUUGGUUUUCUACACAAAAGCUGCUUCAAUAGUUCCACCACGGAUAUUGAAGCCCUUUUUCGACGUGAGCAACCUGGACUGCGUUUCGGUCCAUAUCUCUAGAUGUCCAUGGAUGGAUGGAUGGAUGGUUGGAUGGGAGAAGGAGAAGGAUGGUGGUCACUGGUCAACACCCAAUGGAUAGGGUUUCGAUCUAAGAUAUUGAGUUCAACUUUGUUGUUGGACAUCUAACCUCCGACCGGUUUCGGUUGAGCUUGCCAAUGCGCAAAUUCCUUCCUAUUUAACCUGUUUUUAGGAUCAGUGCCUGAAUGAAACCUAUUUUUAUGAUUAA